Molecule: transfer RNA, 82 nt
Filed under: Danio rerio (zebrafish)
Lineage: Eukaryota; Metazoa; Chordata; Actinopteri; Cypriniformes; Danionidae
Description: tRNA-Ser (AGA) (tRNA-Ser-AGA-173-1)
Rfam family: tRNA
About the family: Transfer RNA (tRNA) molecules are approximately 80 nucleotides in length. Their secondary structure includes four short double-helical elements and three loops (D, anti-codon, and T loops).
Source: Rfam by way of RNAcentral
GUAGUCGUGGCCGAGUGGUUUAGGCGAUCGACUAGAAAUCCAUUGGGGUCUCCCCGCGCAGGUUCAAAUCCUGGUGACUACG